UUGGAAGGUAGUAAUAUUGUACGUAAAAAAACAUUCUCCUUAAGGUAUCAGAAUUCAUGUGUAUUCAGAUCAAGUGGUUUUGAAAACUCACCAUAUAUGAUGGAACCAGCCCACACCACUACUAAUGCUGUUCACCAAGGACCUAGGAAUAAAGCACAUCGGACCCAAGGUUACCCAACACCUCGCCAUUUCCACACCCAGACCCAAGAUUUACAGCAGUCAGUAAGAAAAUUCCCACAGAAUCA
Molecule: long non-coding RNA, 245 nt
Organism: Myotis davidii
Lineage: Eukaryota; Metazoa; Chordata; Mammalia; Chiroptera; Vespertilionidae
Exons: 3
Source: RefSeq, a predicted model, not a curated record